Panicum hallii is the source of this 3502-nucleotide RNA transcript. It is a transcript of the gene named protein transport protein sec23-1, with no coding region annotated. The record is from RefSeq and is a predicted model, not a curated record. Lineage: Eukaryota; Viridiplantae; Streptophyta; Magnoliopsida; Poales; Poaceae. The transcript is spliced from 4 exons.
CCUUGGGGAAAAAAGGCAGCACACUGGAAGACGACGGCAAACCCUAGUGCUCACUCCACCGCGGCGCCCACCACCCCGAUCGGGGCUCGAUUCCGAUGGACUUCGCGGAGCUGGAGGCGGUGGAGGGCCUCCGGUGGCCGUGGCACUCGUGGCCGCCGGCUCCCCCUGCCGCCGCGUCGCUCGUCGUCCCCACCGCCGUCCUCUGCUCGCCGCUGCAGCACCCCACGGCGCCCGACCUCCUCCCGCUGCUCCCCUACGCGCCGCUCCGCUGCGCGACCCCCGGGUGCGGCGCCGCACUCAACCCGUUCUCGCGCGUGCACCACGGCUCCGCGCGCUGGUCCUGCCCCUUCUGCGGCGCCGGCGCCAACCCGUUCCCGCGCCGCCUGGCGCCCGACGCGCUCCCCGCCGAGCUCUUCCCCACCCACUCCAGCGUCGAGUACGCGCUGGCCGCGGACCCUGCAGAGGCAGGCGGGCCGGGGCCGCCCGCGCUCGUGUUCGUGGUGGACGCGGCCACGGAGCCCGCGGAGCUCGCCGUGCUCAAGGGCGAGGUGCGCAGGGUCGUGCAGGGGCUGCCCGAGGGGGUCAGGGUGGCGCUCGUGACUUUCGCUGCGUCGGUGUGGGUGCACGAUCUCGGAUUCGAAGGGUGCGCUCGGGUGGUCGUGAUCAGCGGCGAGCGCGAACUUGAGUCUGACAAGAUACAAGAACUUUUAGGUGUCCACCAUUCACGAUACAAUAAGUUGGCUAUGCCAAGGUCCGCUGAAGCACAGAGAUUUUUGCUGCCUGUUUCUGAAUGUGAAUUUAACUUCACAUCUGCAAUAGAGGAUCUGAGCUCCAUGUCUGCGUGCCCACGUGGGCAUCGCCCUUUAAGAGCAACUGGCGCAGCUAUUUCCACUGCUAUUGCUCUUCUGGAAGGUUGCUGCUCACCCAGUACCGGUGGUCGGAUUAUGGUCUUCACAUCCGGUCCUGCAACAGUUGGUCCAGGGCUUGUGGUGGAAACUGAUCUUGGGAAAGCAAUUCGUUCUCAUCGUGACAUAUUCAAUAGCAAUGCACCGCUCACUGACAAAGCACGUGACUUUUAUAAGAAAGUUGCAAAGAGGUUAACAGACCAUGCAUUAGUUCUUGAUCUAUUUGCCUGCUCCCUUGAUCAGGUUGGGGCUGCAGAGCUGAGGAAUCCAAUUGAAGUGUCAGGGGGUUUAAUAGUGCAUACAGAGUCAUUUGAGUCCGAGCAGUUUAAAAGCUGUUUUAGGCAUAUGUUCAAGCGUGAAAGUACUGAUUACCUUAACAUGAACUUCAAUGCUACAAUUGAAAUAGUGACAUCAAAGGAGGUGAAGAUUUGUGGUGCCCUUGGUCCCUGCAUUUCCCUCCGCAGGAAAAACAGCUCAGUUAGUGACAAGGAAAUUGGUGAGGGUGGGACAAACUAUUGGAAAACUAGUUCUCUGAGCAGCAAGACCUGCAUUGCUUUCUUUUUCCGAGUUGAUUGUAGUCAUAAAGCUGAGCCCCCAACUGUCUUCUUUAUUCAGUUCAUGACAAGAUACCGACAUGGUGAUGGUAGUUAUCGCCUAAGGGUAACAACCGUUGCAAGAAGAUGGGCAGCACCUCGAUCUCCUGAAAUUGCUGCAGGGUUUGAUCAGGAAGCUGCUGCGGCUGUUAUGGCCAGGCUUGCUGUUUACAGGGCAGAGACAUACCACGUUAGAGAUGUUAUACGAUGGCUUGACAAGAUGCUUAUCCGUUUUACUGCUAAAUUUGGAAACUAUGUUCCUGAAGAUCCAUCCACAUUUCGGCUGUCAACAAACUUCUCCCUGUAUCCGCAGUUCAUGUACUACCUGCGGAGGUCACAGUUCAUUGAUGUUUUCAACAGCUCUCCCGACGAAACUGCUUUCUUCAGGUUGAUGUUGAAUAGGGAGGGAGUUGUGGGGUCUCUAAUCAUGAUCCAGCCGACUCUAUUCCAGUACUCAUUUGAUGGACCACCUAUUCCUGUGCUGCUAGAUGUCAGCUCCCUCUCUCCGGAUGUCAUUUUACUAUUUGAUUCAUACUUCUAUAUCGUGAUUCAUUAUGGCUCAAAGAUUGCUCAGUGGAGGAAGCUUGGUUAUCAUAAGGACCCAAACCACGAAAAUUUGCGGAAGCUACUUGAAGCACCAGAAGUAGAUGCAGAGGCACUUAUGGUAGAUCGUUUCCCUGUGCCAAAACUCAUAAAGUGUGAUCAGCAUGGUAGCCAGGCCAGGUUCCUGCUCGCUCGGUUGAAUCCAUCUGUGACACAGAAAACACAGCUUUCAGAGGGAUCUGAAGUCAUUUUCACCGACGAUGUUAGUUUGCAAGUUUUUAUUGAACACUUGCAGGAGUUGGCUGUUCAGGGCUAGAAAGGCACGGAGCCUAACCAUUUUUGUGCUAUCCCAGUUGGGUCCAUAUGUGAUCCUGAAAAAUAUGGCUUUCAGCGGGACCGGACUUCAUAUUCACUGAUGAAGUUUACUUGCAAGUAUUUAUUGAACACUUGCAGUAAUUGGUUGUGCAGAAUUAAAUUGUUAACGUGGAUUAUUUAUAUGCUAUUUUCUGGUCGCCUGCAUAUAUACUGGGAGAGCUCUACUGCCUGGAGGGGUGAGAUCUCCCUGAGUUGUACAUUGCUCAAGCUCCAGUUUGAUAGAAUUUUAGCUGAUGACACUGACCAAGACCGAUGGCUUCAGAACUCUUCAUGAUCCUCAGGCGCUUGCAUGACUCGACAAACAUCCUGCAGGGAUUAUAAUUGACAAGCCAACAUAAGGAGCUGAAGUCUGAACAUCUUGAUCUCAUCCUGAUCAUGGGUCAGUAAAUAUGAAAGCAUGUAUUAUUAACGACCAGGCACACAAGGAUGAAGAACAUACUCCCAUGGUACGUCGCCAACAAGCAUCCAGUCGCCAUCCUUGUCUUCGUAAGUAGUGACAACAUCGGCACCACUCACCGGAUCAACCAAUUUCCCCUCAUUCAUGUUCCCUGUGAUGAUUUACCAGUUGUGAAGGUGCUGAACAUCUUCUUCAGAGCAAUUGACAGGUCCUUGUAGCUGUUGUACAUCUUAAGGUCCACCUUGCGCAGAUAGGGUGCGCCGUCCAUGCUGACCUUCACGAAGGCAGAGCUGUUGCUGCCGGCGUUGGCAGCGGGCUGCUGCUUCUCGGGUUCCUCUUCCUUCUUGCUCUUCACUGACUGGACGGUCAUGACGUUCCUGCGGUAUGAUCGUACUGGUGGCCAACCCACAGCUUGUGCCCUGAUAUACACGCACAAAUUUAGUUGUAGUUCCAUGAAUUUCACAUAUCAGUUCUGGUCUAGAGCUUGAAGAAGUUGGGAUUCUUUUGCUAUCUUCUCUGCGACCAGCUCUGCUUUCUGCUAAUAUUGUGUAUAAUGAAAAUGUGGUGUGGUUAAGGCCACAUGAAUCAUGACCGUCAUGAUUAUUCAGAAAUCACUUGGGAACAGGUGUGCUUCACCUGAUACUUAAAAUAUUUUGCUAAGUAUAAUCCUUCAUUUUGCUCAGUAAAAA